RNAcentral lists this unclassified non-coding RNA (386 nucleotides) under Hevea brasiliensis (rubber tree). Lineage: Eukaryota; Viridiplantae; Streptophyta; Magnoliopsida; Malpighiales; Euphorbiaceae. The record is from RNAcentral.
GGAACUAUGGUAUCAAGGAUAACUUUGCCAAGAAGAAACCUUGUCUCACACAUAUUUCCUUUCCCAAGAGAAAUGUAAUCUAUCCUGUAAACGUCCUUCCUAGUUUUGAGAGAUGUAACAUCUUUCACUAGAAUGUCAAACAUUAGCUCGACAGUCCUGCCCAUUUUGUUUGAUACAAAGACCAAACCAGAGCAUGGGGCUCCUGGGAACUUGGACAUUGCUUCCUGGAGGCUGUCCUUAUCAGUCAAAAUGUCUAAAGAAUUUUGCACUAGCACUGCCAGCUCUGUAACUCUUUCCACAAGCUCAUCAUCUGAUAUGGAGCCUUGGGAAUCUGAAAUUUCAGGUACAUAAAUAGAUGCAGCAUCAGAAUGUCUUCUAGCAAAUUU